This 594-nucleotide ribosomal RNA is filed under the name uncultured bacterium. RNAcentral's name for it is "bacterial SSU rRNA". It matches the Rfam family "Bacterial small subunit ribosomal RNA", at positions 56 to 631 of the family's 1533-position model. The record is from RNAcentral.
UGCAAGUCGAACGGAAGUCGUUAUAAAAAGGAUUGAGGAUUUAUCUGAUUGAGAUUUUAUAACAAUGGCUUUAGUGGCGGACUGGUGAGUAACGCGUGAGCAACCUGCCUACUAGAGGGGAAUAACAGUGAGAAAUCAUUGCUAAUACCGCAUAUGCCAUGAACAUCACAUGAUGAAAGUGGGAAAAGAGUAAUCUGCUAGUAGAUGGGCUCGCGUCUGAUUAGAUAGUUGGUGGGGUAACGGCCUACCAAGUCGACGAUCAGUAGCCGGACUGAGAGGUUGAACGGCCACAUUGGGACUGAGAUACGGCCCAGACUCCUACGGGAGGCAGCAGUCGGGAAUAUUGCGCAAUGGAGGAAACUCUGACGCAGUGACGCCGCGUAUAGGAAGAAGGUUUUCGGAUUGUAAACUAUUGUCGUUAGGGAAGAUACAAGACAGUACCUAAGGAGGAAGCUCCGGCUAACUACGUGCCAGCAGCCGCGGUAAUACGUAGGGAGCAAGCGUUAUCCGGAUUUAUUGGGUGUAAAGGGUGCGUAGACGGGAAAGCAAGUUAGUUGUGAAAUCCCUCGGCUUAACUGAGGAACUGCAACUAAA